GACGAACGCUGGCGGCGUGCUUAACACAUGCAAGUCGAGCGGUAAGGCCCUUUCGGGGUACGACGAGCGGCGAACGGGUGAGUAACACGUGGGUGACCUGCCCUCCAGCUCUGGGAGUAAGCCUGGGAAACGUGGGUCGUAAUACUGGAUAUGACUCCACGGUGCAUGUCGUGGGGUGGAAAGCCUUGUGCGGCUGAGGAUGGGCCCGCGGCUAUCAGCUUGUUGGUGGGGUGA
RNAcentral lists this ribosomal RNA (234 nucleotides) under uncultured bacterium. RNAcentral describes it as "partial 16S ribosomal RNA". It matches the Rfam family "Bacterial small subunit ribosomal RNA", at positions 28 to 260 of the family's 1533-position model. The record is from RNAcentral.